GAUGAGAUAUCCCAAUAAGUAAGACCCCUUAGAGAGUAUGAGGUAGAUAGGCUGGAGGUGGAAGUGCAGUAAUGUAUGGAGCUGACCAGUACUAAUCGGUCGAGGGCUUAUCCUGA
Molecule: ribosomal RNA, 116 nt
Filed under: Eisenbergiella tayi
Lineage: Bacteria; Bacillati; Bacillota; Clostridia; Lachnospirales; Lachnospiraceae
Description: partial 23S ribosomal RNA
Rfam family: Bacterial large subunit ribosomal RNA
Source: RNAcentral